CGGAGUAUAGCAUAUGUAAUGCUUUUUACUUACACUAAAAAAAAAGUUAAAAACUUGCUCCGC
RNAcentral lists this transfer RNA (63 nucleotides) under Metaphire communissima. RNAcentral's name for it is "tRNA-Val". Lineage: Eukaryota; Metazoa; Annelida; Clitellata; Crassiclitellata; Megascolecidae. The record is from RNAcentral.